ACAGGUUUUCCAAAUAGCCUGUACAACAACGUUUUUCUUCUCAUAUAUCCAUUGAUUUCAAAUUGCUUCCAAUCAGGUUGGUUGGAUUUUAUUUUAAUUUUGAUUCUCUAACUGCUCUGUUUGCUACCCUUUUUGUAAUUUUCUAUAAUUCGUUUAGUUCCCUGGUGUACGAUGGCUAAGGGAUGCAGUUCAAGUUCCCUGGUGUACGAUGGCUAAAGGAUAUAAUUCGUUUAGUUUCAAGUUGACGCAUGGUUAUUAUACGCAAUUGUCAUCCUUAGCAGUGAUUCUGGAAUCCCUCCCUGCUUUCUCUGACAAAAUUUCACAAUUUCUGCUCUUGCUAUCCAUCUCUUUUGUUAUUUUCUGGUACUAUUAAGUUUUGUUGCGUUUCUUUAUGGAGCUGUCCAUGAGUUCUAAGUUUUUUACUCCUUUGUUCUUCCGUUUUCUUGCCUUUCUCUACUCAAAUCCUCUAUAUUCCCGUCUCACAUGUUUUUACGCUCUUUGUUUUGGUCUGGGCUCUUUGCAUGGUUUAGUCUUAAUAAGAAUGGCCUUGAGGUUUUUAUUUUACAUACUGCAUUUGGACUUUCAUUGUGUUUGUGAAAGAGAUUAUAACUGUCUGUGGGCUCUAGGGACCUCUUAAACCAGUUAAUAUUGGCUACUAGAAAGAUACCCUUUGAAUAUGCUAUCUCGAAAGUGAAAGUGAUAUUCAAGUGUUUAAUCUCCUGAUUGAGGCUUGACUUCUGUAUUCCAUAUUUUGCAGAUUGCUACUUUGAAGUCCCUAAGGAACACAUGGGGUACUUCUGGGGAAAAGGAAUGGGCAAAUUAAAUGAUUGAUAUACAAGGGCUUGGGUAAGUGAAAAUUGUCAGAAUGAGCAGUUAAUUUUUAGAAUGAUAAGUUGGUAAAAGCUUCUAUUAGCUCAGUAGAGGAAGCUUGGCAUCUUGACAUACUGUAACAGGAGAUAAUUAAGAUCAGCUCAAUCGUGAUUCUUCCAAUAGGAAAUUAAGGAACCAAUUGUUAUUUUGCCAACUUUAUUCCAAGCAUAGAAUUAAAAAAGUUGCUAUGGGUUUAUCUUAUACCAUCAUACUGGUCCUUCAAAUCAGAUAACAACUAACAUAUUAACAACAACUUCUACAUAUAUGAAUAACCAUCUUGCUUUGCAACAGCUUUAACUGACUAUACAAUUUUAUCUUUGUUAGACUUACUACAUCUUCUUUGCAAUUUAUUUUGCAAAAUUAUUACUUUUCUGUGAUUAUAUAUACCAAAGUCUAAGUCGUUCACUUUUAGUCAUUUCCACUAGCUGUAAAAUUGUGUUAUGUUUGCCAUUUUAUAACUCAAUAAUAAUUAUAUGAUUUCUUAAUUUUUUUUUGGCAUUAGGUGACCCUCCUCCAAUGUAUUUUUGUACGAUGUGAACUCAUUCUUGGGGGAUAUGGCUGGAUGAGUAUCGAAUUUCACUAAAAAGAUAAAAAUAAAGUUGUGUCUUCUGAGCUUCAAUGAAAGUAAGAUAUUCUGUUUUGUUGCACACGUAGAGUAUUUUACAAAUGCAGAAAUUAUUGAAGAGAUGUUUAUCUUCGUGCCUAAACAUAUACUUUUUUCGGCAGAAUUUUCUUGAUAUUGUGCAUCUUAAAGAGAUGAUCUUCAAAAGAAGGAGAAUUGAAUCUUUGAAUGGGCAACUGAUAACUUAUCUUAAAAUACUAUGUGUGGCAUCCUACAGUACGUGUUAUGUGCAAGAAGUUACAUUAACACGGUUCAUGUCAUACGAGAUAUAUUGGAAGUUUUAUAUAAAAGUUACUAUAUUGGCAUG
This 1799-nucleotide long non-coding RNA is filed under the name Nicotiana tabacum (common tobacco). Its description in RNAcentral is "long non-coding RNA (NTAB_LNC001730)". The record is from RNAcentral. Lineage: Eukaryota; Viridiplantae; Streptophyta; Magnoliopsida; Solanales; Solanaceae.